RNAcentral lists this ribosomal RNA (253 nucleotides) under uncultured bacterium. RNAcentral describes it as "partial 16S ribosomal RNA". It matches the Rfam family "Bacterial small subunit ribosomal RNA", at positions 524 to 776 of the family's 1533-position model. The record is from RNAcentral.
CACGUAGGGGGCAAGCGUUGUCCGGAUUUAUUGGGCGUAAAGAGCGUGUAGGCGGCUUGGUAGGUCCGCUGUGAAAACUCGAGGCUCAACCUCGAGAUGUCGGCGGAAACCACUUGGCUAGAGUCCGGAAGAGGAGAGUGGAAUUCCCGGUGUAGCGGUGAAAUGCGCAGAUAUCGGGAAGAACACCUAUGGCGAAGGCAGCUCUCUGGGACGGUACUGACGCUGAGACGCGAAAGCGUGGGGAGCGAACAGG